UGAAUGUUCAUAGCACUUUUACUUCUAAGAGCCAAAAGCUAGAAUCAACCCAGAUGUCCUUUUUAUUUCUUCUUUUUUUUUUUUUUUAGGGCCGCACCUGUGGCACAUGGAGGUUCCCAGAAAAAAAAGACAAAAAAAAAAAAGGUUAUAAAGUUUCAAAAAUUGGAGUAGCCUCAUGGCCCAGAGGGUUAAGGACCUGAUGUUGUCACUGCUGUGGCUAUGGUUCAAGCCCUGUCCCAGGAACUUCCACAUAUUGCAGGCACAGCCAAAAAUAAAUAAAAGUUAGAAUGACCAACCAAUGAAAAUAAAACCUGAAAAGAGGUGGGAUCUCCUUUCAUUAGGCUCCCUGAAAAACCAUGGAAAUGAAACAUUUUUAUUUAUGACAAAGGACAACCAAAGUUACACUACCUAAUAGUUGGGAUACAGAAAAGAUACUGAUUCUAAGGCCCAAAUUAAAUUCUCUUGAUUACCAAAUAAAAAAUAGAUCAAAUUCUCUUGACUAUUAAAUAAAUAUAGAACGGUCAAAAAAGUAGUUAAUGCCUUUAUCUUACCAACUAAGCAAGAAGAGUUUGGAAGGAAAAAAAAAGCAAAAAUGCAAAGAUAGGAUGCCCAAAAUUCACAACUAACUUUCCAAAUGUGCAUUUAACUCUUGACAUAUAAUAAAACUAGGCAUCAUAUGCUCAGCACCUACUUCAGAACUAGCACUGUGCUGGCCACUUCAUAUAAUUUUACCUUGUAACAUCUCAGUCGUGCGAGGCUGCACAGUAUUCACUCCAUUUAGAGAUGAAGAACUGGGUCUCAGAGAUUAAAGGUACUUCUACUAAAUAGGUAGCAAAAUACACUCUCAAAGAGAUCUAUCCAACUUAAAAGUAUUAUGAUUUAAUAUCCUUAAUUAAGAGAUUAAAGGAAAAUGAGAGAAAAAUGAAUGUCUGAGAUAAAGGGAUCACAAAUUCAAAGCUCUUAGAAACUCAAUGUAUGAGGAGAUAAAAUCUCUUUAAGUUUUAAAACUUGGUACACUGAGCUCACAUCCUCCCUACCUAAAAUUUACUCCCCUCCCCAACUUCUAUCUCUGUAUUAACGCUGUUUUUCUUUCUUUCACUCCAUAAAUAUGUAAGUGUAAUAUAAGGAAGACACCAGGCUACACACUGUUAAGAUGCAAAAAGAUGAAUCAGACCAGAAAGAGAAAGGCAUGAGCCAGGGGAGGGUA
Molecule: long non-coding RNA, 1207 nt
Filed under: Sus scrofa (pig)
Lineage: Eukaryota; Metazoa; Chordata; Mammalia; Artiodactyla; Suidae
Description: lncRNA (ENSSSCG00015023486.1)
Source: RNAcentral